CUUGAUGGUAGCUGUGCGCAGGGCACCUUCGGGUGCGCCGGCUUGCUCGAAACCCCGGUCUACUAACCUGCGUACAGUUGCCUCCACU
RNAcentral lists this non-coding RNA (88 nucleotides) under Pseudomonas baetica. Lineage: Bacteria; Pseudomonadati; Pseudomonadota; Gammaproteobacteria; Pseudomonadales; Pseudomonadaceae. The record is from RNAcentral. RNAcentral also lists the same sequence under 4 other names.